RNAcentral lists this ribosomal RNA (217 nucleotides) under uncultured bacterium. Its description in RNAcentral is "partial 16S ribosomal RNA". It matches the Rfam family "Bacterial small subunit ribosomal RNA", at positions 1284 to 1500 of the family's 1533-position model. The record is from RNAcentral.
CGUCUCAGUUCAGAUUGCAGGCUGCAACUCGCCUGCAUGAAGUCGGAAUUGCUAGUAAUCGCAGAUCAGCAUGCUGCGGUGAAUACGUUCCCGGGCCUUGUACACACCGCCCGUCACACCAUGGGAGUCGGUAACACCCGAAGUCGGUAGCCUAACCGUAAGGAGGGCGUCGCCGAAGGUGGGAUUGAUGACUGGGGUGAAGUCGUAACAAGGUAGC